ACAGACAGCCAGGAUGUUGGCUUAGAAGCAGCCAUCAUUUAAAGAAAGCGUAAUAGCUCACUGGUCGAGUCGGCCUGCGCGGAAGAUGUAACGGGGCUAAACCAUGCACCGAAGCUGCGGCAGCGACGCUUAUGCGUUGUUGGGUAGGGGAGCGUUCUGUAAGCCGUUGAAGGUGUGCUGUGAGGCAUGCUGGAGGUAUCAGAAGUGCGAAUGCUGACAUAAGUAACGAUAAAGCGGGUGAAAAGCCCGCUCGCCGGAAG
This 260-nucleotide ribosomal RNA is filed under the name Enterobacter hormaechei. RNAcentral's name for it is "partial 23S ribosomal RNA". It matches the Rfam family "Bacterial large subunit ribosomal RNA", at positions 1085 to 1343 of the family's 2925-position model. The record is from RNAcentral. Lineage: Bacteria; Pseudomonadati; Pseudomonadota; Gammaproteobacteria; Enterobacterales; Enterobacteriaceae.